UCCGUAGGUGAACCUGCGGAAGGAUCAUUACCGAGUGAGGGCCCUUUGGGUCCAACCUCCCACCCGUGUUUAUUUUACCUUGUUGCUUCGGCGGGCCCGCCUUUACUGGCCGCCGGGGGGCUCACGCCCCCGGGCCCGCGCCCGCCGAAGACACCCCCGAACUCUGUCUGAAGAUUGAAGUCUGAGUGAAAAUAUAAAUUAUUUAAAACUUUCAACAACGGAUCUCUUGGUUCCGGCAUCGAUGAAGAACGCAGCGAAAUGCGAUACGUAAUGUGAAUUGCAAAUUCAGUGAAUCAUCGAGUCUUUGAACGCACAUUGCGCCCCCUGGUAUUCCGGGGGGCAUGCCUGUCCGAGCGUCAUUGCUGCCCUCAAGCCCGGCUUGUGUGUUGGGCCCCGUCCUCCGAUUCCGGGGGACGGGCCCGAAAGGCAGCGGCGGCACCGCGUCCGGUCCUCGAGCGUAUGGGGCUUUGUCACCCGCUCUGUAGGCCCGGCCGGCGCUUGCCGAUCAACCCAAAUUUUUAUCCAGGUUGACCUCGGAUCAGGUAGGGAUACCCGCUGAACUUAAGCAUAUCAAUAAGCGGAGGAA
Molecule: ribosomal RNA, 586 nt
Filed under: uncultured fungus
Lineage: Eukaryota; Fungi
Description: eukaryotic LSU rRNA
Rfam family: 5.8S ribosomal RNA (bases 207-359)
Source: RNAcentral